This is a ribosomal RNA of Gasterosteus aculeatus aculeatus (three-spined stickleback), 120 nucleotides long. Lineage: Eukaryota; Metazoa; Chordata; Actinopteri; Perciformes; Gasterosteidae. The record is from Ensembl.
GCUUACCGGCCAUACCUCUCUGGCUCCGCCUGAUCUCGUCUGAUCUCAGAAGCUAAGCAGAGUAGGGCCUGGUUAGUACUUGGAUGGAAGACCGCCUGGGAAUCCCAGGUGCCGUAAGCU